RNAcentral lists this ribosomal RNA (443 nucleotides) under uncultured bacterium. Its description in RNAcentral is "partial 16S ribosomal RNA". It matches the Rfam family "Bacterial small subunit ribosomal RNA", at positions 338 to 795 of the family's 1533-position model. The record is from RNAcentral.
CCUACGGGCGGCUGCAGUGGGGGAUAUUGGGCAAUGGGCGCAAGCCUGACCCAGCAACGCCGCGUGAAGGAAGAAGGCUUUCGGGUUGUAAACUUCUUUUCUCAGGGACGAAGAAAGUGACGGUACCUGAGGAAUAAGCCACGGCUAACUACGUGCCAGCAGCCGCGGUAAUACGUAGGUGGCAAGCGUUAUCCGGAUUUAUUGGGGGUAAAGGGGGUGGAGGGGGGGGCGCAAGUCAGAUGUGAAAACUCAGGGCUCAACCCUGAGCCUGCAUUUGAAACUGUGUUUCUUGAGUGCUGGAGAGGCAAUCGGAAUUCCGGGUGUAGCGGUGAAAUGCGUAGAUAUACGGAGGAACACCAGUGGCGAAGGCGGAUUGCUGGACAGUAACUGACGCUGAGGCGCGAAAGCGUGGGGAGCAAACAGGAAUAGAUACCCGAGUAGUC